CGCGGGAUGGCGCAGCCAGGUAGCGCAGCGGGUUCAUACCCCGCAGGUCAUCGGUUCAAAUCCGUUUCCCGCCA
Molecule: transfer RNA, 74 nt
Filed under: Armatimonadota bacterium
Lineage: Bacteria; Bacillati; Armatimonadota
Description: Armatimonadetes bacterium (soil metagenome) tRNA-Met
Rfam family: tRNA
About the family: Transfer RNA (tRNA) molecules are approximately 80 nucleotides in length. Their secondary structure includes four short double-helical elements and three loops (D, anti-codon, and T loops).
Source: RNAcentral